CUUGUUAGAAUUUACUAAUGAAAGUCAAAUGUGAAACAUGAAUUUGAUAUGAUCGUUAAUAUGUACAAUCAUGUAUGCUAACAAGAAUGUGAAUGCGAUGACAUGAAAGUAUAGGGAUCAUGUCAAGAUGGAUGAAAGCAUGGAAGGCUAAGGGGUCAAAAGGAGGCGAGGAAACGGAUGCGAAUACGGACACUUAAGGUUAGUCAGAUAUUCAUGAUGGACAAGUGAACGAGAAUCAAGUUGAAGAUCAUGGAUUGUACGGGAAAGCGGUCACGUUUGUAAUCAUUUGUUAACAUAGUUACAAUAAAUAAAUGAUGAAUGAUGUAUUUAUGUUAGAAGGGUUGACCUAAACGGUAUUUAAGUAUGUUAGAAUAGUUAAAAGAAAGAAAUUUUACGGUUCAUUUUCCGCUGCG
Molecule: long non-coding RNA, 413 nt
Organism: Helianthus annuus (common sunflower)
Lineage: Eukaryota; Viridiplantae; Streptophyta; Magnoliopsida; Asterales; Asteraceae
Exons: 2
Source: RefSeq, a predicted model, not a curated record